Rhodofomes roseus is the source of this 100-nucleotide non-coding RNA. The record is from the annotation of a RefSeq genome assembly. Lineage: Eukaryota; Fungi; Basidiomycota; Agaricomycetes; Polyporales; Fomitopsidaceae.
UGCCCCAUGGCUGAGUUGGUUACAGCGUCCGACUGUUACGAAAAAUGCGUAUUCUCGGAUGCACAUCGGAAGGUCGUGAGUUCGAGCCUCACUGGGGCAG